Non-coding RNA from Sesamum indicum (sesame), 945 nucleotides. The record is from RefSeq and is a predicted model, not a curated record. Lineage: Eukaryota; Viridiplantae; Streptophyta; Magnoliopsida; Lamiales; Pedaliaceae.
ACAAAAUAUUUUUCCUUCCUAGUUUCUUUCUCUCUCCAACUCUUGGAGUUCUUCUCUUGUUUUCUUCUAGUAAAGAAAGCAUUGGGUUCUAGUAGCGGUGUGGUGUGAAUGAAUUAGUGGGAUCCUACGUUGAAGCAUCAUGUGAACGUUUUAAGUAGCCGAAUUCCGACAAAGGCCAAUUCACACGAUCCUUCAGACCACCCGUAGCGUUGAUGGUCACUUGACGAGGAAAGGGAUGAUUUUUUCUUUUUCUAAUACAGCCUAGGCUUUCUCUUCCUCCCUUCCCCACAUUCUCUACAAAAGAAAAACCAUGGAGUAUGUGCAUUUUCCCUUCUUCGUGCAUCAUUCUUGUAAGGUGAUUGACCCCAUUGAAGCCAAUUCUCGAGAGGCGGGGCUUGGUUUGUGUGCCGUGAGAGGGGCUCAGCUUUGGAGUAUACGAUGGCCAAAUGCAGCUAAUGUCGUCCAGUUGAUUAGCCCUAUUUUGCUAGAUAGGAUGCCGAUUUGGUGAUGUUUCGUACAUCCCACUAGACACCUCCAUAACAUAAAAAGAGACUUAAUGAGGCAUCAAAAUUGACGAACGCCUAUAAAGAUACCUUGAAACCAAGAUCGGACCUUAAAGUAUUUAAGAUAUGAAGGAUAUUUGAAGGUCCUAGAGACCCUGAGCACAACAACAAGAGUGUCAGAAUACACUCACUUCAUAGUCUGCACAGUUUUGGUUCCUUGGACCACUUCCUGUCCUUAUCAGCUAGAUAUGUACGGCCUAUUGCUCUUGUUGGAUUAAAAUUAGAUCUAAGGGUGUACAUGAAAUCAUACAAUCCUCCAUACAACCAUCCGUGUACUUUUUCUCUCUUCAUGCUGGGGUACUCUGUGUGGUAUACUUAUAUUGCUUGUUGUACUAGGAUGAAUGGUUCAAUGAGAUGAUAAUUAGGAUGUACCUUCAUACCU